AUGAACGCUGGCGGCGUGCCUAAUACAUGCCAGUCGAGCGAACAGACGAGGAGCUUGCUCCUCUGACGUUAGCGGCGGACGGGUGAGUAACACGUGGAUAACCUACCUAUAAGACUGGGAUAACUUCGGGAAACCGGAGCUAAUACCGGAUAAUAUAUUGAACCGCAUGGUUCAAUAGUGAAAGACGGUUUUGCUGUCACUUAUAGAUGGAUCCGCGCCGCAUUAGCUAGUUGGUAAGGUAACGGCUUACCAAGGCAACGAUGCGUAGCCGACCUGAGAGGGUGAUCGGCCACACUGGAACUGAGACACGGUCCAGACUCCUACGGGAGGCAGCAGUAGGGAAUCUUCCGCAAUGGGCGAAAGCUUGACGGAGAACGCCGCGUGAGUGAUGAAGGUCUUCGGAUCGUAAAACUCUGUUAUUAGGGAAGAACAAAUGUGUAAGUAACUAUGCACGUCUUGACGGUACCUAAUCAGAAAGCCACGGCUAACUACGUG
This 495-nucleotide ribosomal RNA is filed under the name uncultured bacterium. RNAcentral's name for it is "partial 16S ribosomal RNA". It matches the Rfam family "Bacterial small subunit ribosomal RNA", at positions 29 to 507 of the family's 1533-position model. The record is from RNAcentral.